GUGAUUACUUCAGUAGCACAUAUACUAACUUUGGAAUAAUACAGAGAUGGUUAGCACGGCCCCUGAGCAAGGAUGACACGCAAAUUCAAAGAUUUAUUUACAACAGUU
Gracilinanus agilis (Agile Gracile Mouse Opossum) is the source of this 108-nucleotide small nuclear RNA. The record is from RefSeq and is a predicted model, not a curated record. Lineage: Eukaryota; Metazoa; Chordata; Mammalia; Didelphimorphia; Didelphidae.